Molecule: transfer RNA, 85 nt
Filed under: Chitinophaga oryziterrae
Lineage: Bacteria; Pseudomonadati; Bacteroidota; Chitinophagia; Chitinophagales; Chitinophagaceae
Also listed under: 3 other names
Rfam family: tRNA
About the family: Transfer RNA (tRNA) molecules are approximately 80 nucleotides in length.
Source: Rfam by way of RNAcentral
GGAAAGGUGCAGGAGUGGUUGAUCUGGCUCGCCUGGAAAGCGUGUAUACCGCAAGGUAUCAAGGGUUCGAAUCCCUUCCUUUCCG